This 908-nucleotide ribosomal RNA is filed under the name Allogromida sp. olive_encruster. Its description in RNAcentral is "SSU rRNA". It matches the Rfam family "Eukaryotic small subunit ribosomal RNA", at positions 1160 to 1678 of the family's 1831-position model. Lineage: Eukaryota; Foraminifera. The record is from RNAcentral.
AAGGGCACCACAAGAACGCGUGGAGCAUGUGGCUUAAUUUGACUCAACGCGGGAAAUCUUACCGGGUCCGGACACACUGAGGAUUGACAGGUGUUUCGUAUAUAUAUAUAAGUUUUAUACUUAUAUGAGUUUAUACAUAUCAAAUAUGCUAGUCCUUUCAUGAUUGUGUGAUAGGUGGUGCAUGGCCGUUCUUAGUUCGUGGAGUGAUCUGUCUGCUUAAUUGCGUUUCACUUAUAGCAUUAUGUAUUUUAUUAAUUAUUGCAUUGCGACCCUACUUCGGUAGUUGCGUCCGGCAUAAUUUACUUAUACAUUUGCUUCGAAGGCAACGAACGUGACCGCUAUCUCUUGUUGCCUCCCUUGUAUUUUUACUUUAUUAAAUACUUUAUUGUAUUUUACUAAGUAAUAUACACAUAUACUUUUGUAUAUGCCGUGGAGGGAAACUAGAGAGACCGCUGACAUUUUUUAAACCAGAGAAAGGUGGCGGCAAUAACAGGUCUGUGAUGCCCUCAGAUGUUCCGGGCUGCACACGUGCUACAAUGAUUAUUGCAGUGAGCAUCUUACCCAGUUCGUAGGCACAGUUGUUAUAUUACUGCUUAUAUAAGCGUUAAUAUACACUGUUGCUUUUUAUAUAUACGACUAGGCAACUUCGAAAGUAAGUUGCUAAUCAAUUCGAAGUAAUGAUUUCCAUUUUUUUUAUAUAGCACACUUUACAUAUACAUUAGUAUUAUUUGUUAUACCUUUGCGUAUAAUUAAAUAUAUUAAUUGCUAUAUGUGCUCCAUUAAUUCGUGGUGGGGACAGACCAUUGUUAAUUGUUGGUCUCGGUCUCAACUAGGAAUGCCUUGUACGGGUCUUUGGUUCAACAGACCACCCGGAAUAUGUCCCUGCCCUUUGUACACACCGCCCGUCA